CCAGACUCCUACGGGAGGCAGCAGUGGGGAAUAUUGCACAAUGGGCGCAAGCCUGAUGCAGCCAUGCCGCGUGUAUGAAGAAGGCCUUCGGGUUGUAAAGCACUUUCAGCGGGGAGGAAGGUGUUGUGGUUAAUAACCACGGCAAUUGACGUUACCCGCAGAAGAAGCACCGGCUAACUCCGUGCCAGCAGCCGCGGUAAUACGGAGGGUGCAAGCGUUAAUCGGAAUUACUGGGCGUAAAGCGCACGCAGGCGGGUUGUCAAGUCCGGUGGGAAAUCCCCGGGCUCAACCGGGGAACUGCCUUCGAAACUGGCAAGCUGGAGUCCUGGAGAGGGGGGGAGAAUUCCAGGGGUAGCGGUGAAAUGCGUAGAGAUCUGGAGGAAUACCGGUGGCGAAGGCGGCCCCCUGGACAAAAACUGACGCUCAGGUGCGAAAGCGUGGGGAGCAAACAGGAUUAGAUACCCUUGUAC
Molecule: ribosomal RNA, 470 nt
Filed under: uncultured bacterium
Lineage: Bacteria
Description: bacterial SSU rRNA
Rfam family: Bacterial small subunit ribosomal RNA
Source: RNAcentral